CUCCCUCUCGCCCCACCUCUGUGUGAGCGACCCAGUGAAAGAUGAGCCCUUGAGGCACAUUCCCUAGUAGAUUUAAAUGACAAAUCUAGAAAGAAGCGGUUUAAAUAUUUAUGAAGAGGCGGAGAGGUGUAGAGUGUCUUCCGGAAACGCUUCUGAUUGGCUGGUGUUUUCAAGCAAGUGUUAGCUUUAUGAAAUGAGUGAGUACCCCCAGAUCAAUUCAAUGAUUAUGUUUCGUGCUUCGGUUUUUCUUCUUCCAAAAGCGCCACACCAUAUACAUCUAUUUAUUUUCUCAGUAAUUGGUUGCAUGUGUGGUCCGAGGGGCUCACUUUUGUCACAUUUUCACUCUCAAUAUAUUUUGUUUUUUGUAAAUCAUGUCUUAUUUUCAUCAAUUUUAAAAUGCAAAGAUCUGGGACAGAUGGAAACAAUUAGAACCUCCGCUCUGCUGAUGUGUAUAAUCUUAUUAGUUUAAUGGGUCACAGGGUGCAGGACCUAUUUCCUAUAGAUCAAAGUGAAAACAAACACGGUUAAUAUCCCAUUUUGUUUUAGAACCACAUCGGAUCGGGUUCCCUCUCUGGGCCGUGGUAAUGACAAUAUUAAGAGAGCUUGGGUUGCCUUGAAGUUUAGAGGGAAAAUUGAGUCAUGAAGCAUUUUGGU
RNAcentral lists this long non-coding RNA (654 nucleotides) under Homo sapiens (human). RNAcentral's name for it is "non-protein coding lnc-HNRNPA2B1-16:4". Lineage: Eukaryota; Metazoa; Chordata; Mammalia; Primates; Hominidae. The record is from RNAcentral.